UCCUCUGAACCCAUGAGCCCUGACGGCCACUUCGUCCCCUAAACGGACCUGCACUUAAUCCCUGUUGCCUAAAAGACUGACCCUCUUCUCUAGGCCUCUUAGACUGGCCAACAGUCAUGUCCUCUAUUUCACGCGCCUCUAGCAAUCUGGCGCUAUCAACAGCUGAGGAGUAGGAUGGAAACACUUGUGGCGCCAAUACCAUAUACAGAGAGGAUUUGAGUCCUUUAAUGAAUCUCUUCACCCUCCAUUCCUCAGUGGGUAGAAGAUAUUCUGCAUACCUAGACAGUUGAGUGAACUUCAGAUCAUACUCCUCCACUGUCAUGCUCCCUUGAGAUAGCCUCUCAAACUCAUAAAGUCGAGCAUCCCUGAUGCUCUGAGGGAGAAACCUGUCUAA
This 394-nucleotide long non-coding RNA is filed under the name Populus tremula. Its description in RNAcentral is "long non-coding RNA (PTRE_LNC000039)". The record is from RNAcentral. Lineage: Eukaryota; Viridiplantae; Streptophyta; Magnoliopsida; Malpighiales; Salicaceae.